RNAcentral lists this ribosomal RNA (462 nucleotides) under uncultured bacterium. RNAcentral's name for it is "partial 16S ribosomal RNA". It matches the Rfam family "Bacterial small subunit ribosomal RNA", at positions 28 to 507 of the family's 1533-position model. The record is from RNAcentral.
GACGAACGCUGGCGGCGUGCUUAACACAUGCAAGUCGAACGGUAAGGCCUUUCGGGGUACACGAGUGGCGAACGGGUGAGUAACACGUGGGUGAUCUGCCCUGCACUUCGGGAUAAGCCCGGGAAACUGGGUCUAAUACCGGAUAGGACUGCGCGGUGCAUGCCGUGUGGUGGAAAGAUUUAUCGGUGCAGGAUGGGCCCGCGGCCUAUCAGCUUGUUGGUGGGGUAAUGGCCUACCAAGGCGACGACGGGUAGCCGGCCUGAGAGGGCGACCGGCCACACUGGGACUGAGACACGGCCCAGACUCCUACGGGAGGCAGCAGUGGGGAAUAUUGCACAAUGGGCGCAAGCCUGAUGCAGCGACGCCGCGUGAGGGAUGACGGCCUUCGGGUUGUAAACCUCUUUCAGCAGGGACGAAGCGUGAGUGACGGUACCUGCAGAAGAAGCACCGGCCAACUACGUG